GGUUGGUGACCCUGCCCAUGGCAGGGGGUUGAAACUGCAUGAUCUCUGAGGUUCUUUUCAACCCAGGCCGUUCUAUGAUUUGGUGGCAGAAACUAUGAAGUGUUUGCUCCUUGUCUGCAACUUUAAGGUACACAUAGAUGCAAACACUGUAUGUAUGUCUGUUAACUUGGAAAAUGGAAGACGGUGUAUAUAUAACAGUCUUUUAUUAACAUCUCCUGGACAUGAGCUGAGUCUGAUUCUAUGAUAUAUUGGGUUAGCCUAGCAAUGUGGAUUUGGUUAUAUUGCUCUUCCAACACUUCUACUCUUAGGAGUUACUUUAAGUAACUUUCAUGUCCUUCUUCCUAAGUGACACAUGGAUAGCUUGGAGAAGCUCCUUUGGACCAUUAUUUAAAAAUAAGCAGUUCUGCCUGGCGCUGGUGCAGGCUCAAUAAUAGGAAGCUUGUACACUGUCUUUCCCUCUCUUUUUACAAACUAACUUAUCUAACUUGCUGGUACCUACAAUAGGUUUCCUAGGAUUUUAUUGCUUAAUCUAUACUGUAUUUAUUUGAAGUAGCAUUUGUUUGUUCUUAGUUUUUUUUUAAUUAGUCAUAGAAAGUUCUUUUUUUUUUUGUAUUAUAUGCAGCUAGACUGGCUUCUUGGUAGUUUCACUUCAGCUACAUACUUAUUUUCUUAGACCUGUGUAAAAUGUAUUAGAUCAGCCAAUGGUUUCUAUAAAUUUUUAAUUAAUUCAUGCAGAAAUCUUUUAUAACUUUCUCUGCAGGAACUGUCCAUUUGACUGCUUUAAAGUUUCUUCUUUGCAGAUGCAAGAUUAUAAUACCAUUUUACCACUGGAAAGGGGGUUGUUGGAAAAACAUCUGCUUAGAAAAGACCAAACUUUCACCUUUCUCAUCAUCACGUUAGUGCUGUUUUUUUUGUAUGCAGUUGCACAAUCUCGAAAUGUUGUCUGACAAAUUGCUGCAAUUUUGGCUCAUUCCUCUGGCUUAGAGAUUGGGAUUUAAAGGUGUAACUAUUACACUAGUGGGAAGCAUUGUUUUAAUAGAAGAUGCGUAGUAUUUACUGCAUGUUUCCAGAUUUGAUAAUCCUGGCAAGCAAAAGACUUCUCAUUUUUGAAUGAACAAUCUUGUAUUCAUUUUCUAUGAAACCCUGAUGAAUUUAAGGCUCAGAGAGGACCUUUAUCAUCUUCAACUCUUCUGGCCCCUAAAUCCUGUCUGGCAUGCUACAGUGGAGGGAAUAAGCCAAGUAAGCUCAAGUACCAGAAUACCAUCUCCACGUACAUGAUCCUGCUUGCAGUGGCAAGGAGAGGAGUUAAUGGUUCCCCUGUGGUUGAAUCAGCUGAGCAGAAGUUAGCAUCACCCAGUGAUACCAGUGCUGUACGAAUACCCUGGGAACGUGGAGCCGAAAUGGAAUGCCUUCAGCUGCUGUGUAGGAUUCAAGGUGCAGACCUGUGAUCAGAAGCCCUGGAUAUGCUCUCUGGAGGGAUGUCAUUGCUUGCUUUGUUGUCAGAUGUGGCCAUGAGAAUCGCCCCAUUAUGGAAACAACACUGAAUUGGAAAUGCUAAGAGAACUGAACCAGAGGUUCAUUACCUGUGAGUAUCAGAAGCUUUGCCUUUCUUCAAUUGAGAAUGAGAUGGAGAGUCAUCGUAACUUAUAACACUGCUGUAUCAGAAC
RNAcentral lists this long non-coding RNA (1667 nucleotides) under Gallus gallus (chicken). Lineage: Eukaryota; Metazoa; Chordata; Aves; Galliformes; Phasianidae. The record is from RNAcentral.